GGAACUCUUGCUGGUAUGUGUAGAGAAAACUAGUGUGCACUAUAAUUUAUGAGGCUUAGCUUCUAGUGAUUAUUCAGAAAUUUCUUUAUUUAUAUGAUUGCUUGGGGAGAUGCAAGUUUGUAGGUUAGUGUUACUCUUUUGGCUCACAUUUUCCUUGAAUUGUAUAUGGGCUCUUCAAAAGGAAACAAGAAAAAUUUUCUUCAUAAGUUAAUGGAUCUUCCACCAUCCCAGAUAACUAGAUGUUAAAAUGCACUCCUGUACUUCUAAGUAGUUCCCGAAGGACAUAUUAAGAC
RNAcentral lists this long non-coding RNA (293 nucleotides) under Panax ginseng (ginseng). RNAcentral's name for it is "long non-coding RNA (PGIN_LNC014088)". The record is from RNAcentral. Lineage: Eukaryota; Viridiplantae; Streptophyta; Magnoliopsida; Apiales; Araliaceae.